UGGUGGUAACUGUGGGGAGCCCAUUGUGAUGUGCUUUGACUCCAUGGUUGUCAUGGUCCUGUGUAGCCAGUCUGCAGGUGCUGUGCUCAGGAGAGCUGCAAGUGUCCUGCUCCAGCAGGAGUGGAGAAAACAGCAAAAGAACAAUGCUGCCCAUUGGCACCCAUCGAGCGUGGGUCGUCAUGGUCCUGAUCCUGCUCUGUAGCAUCCAUUCACUUCUUGCAGCCCCAGUGCAGCAAGGUUUAGGACAAAGUGAAGCAGCACCCCACAGUCCCAACAUGACACUGAAAGGUGUAUUCGAAUCUCUCUUAAGCUUCUUCAGGCCAAUGACAUGCCGUCUCAGCAACGAGCAGCCCUUAAUUCCUUGUCAAGUAGAAAGUCUUAAUAAAUCUGAGUGCUUGAAAAAUCGCUGUUGUCCUAUGAAAAUUGGCCAGGACCUGCAGUGUCACAUGCCGGUUAAAGACGAUGUGCAACUGGCAAUUCGACUGAUUUUGCUCACCGGAGGAGGAUUUUUGAUUUUGGGGCUUCUACCAAUCUGCUGCUGUGCCAUUUUGCAGAGAAGUCCAUGUGUCAAUCCUGUACAAGGGAUAAGCAAAAAAGUUCGGCAGAUUGCACGAGAGAGAAGAGAACGUCGUGAGGACACUAAUGAUGAAGAGGUUCAUUUACUGGAUUGACUUAAGAAAGAACCAUGAGGACAAAAAAAAGGAGUGUAUAGGAACAUCCACCUCCUCUUGAAGACCAAGCUGAAGACACCAGGAUUAUUUGACUACCUCUUAGAAAAUGACAAUUUGGUUUUAGUAUUGAAGUAAUAUGAUGUUGUUAACCCUUGAUAAUACUAUUGAUUUUACAAUAAAAGUUCUUCAUUCAC
This 865-nucleotide long non-coding RNA is filed under the name Manacus vitellinus (golden-collared manakin). RNAcentral's name for it is "lncRNA (ENSMVIG00005005073.1)". The record is from RNAcentral. Lineage: Eukaryota; Metazoa; Chordata; Aves; Passeriformes; Pipridae.